Molecule: small nuclear RNA, 107 nt
Organism: Tupaia belangeri (northern tree shrew)
Lineage: Eukaryota; Metazoa; Chordata; Mammalia; Scandentia; Tupaiidae
Source: Ensembl
AUACUCUCUUCAACAACACGCAUACUACAAUUGUAACGAUACAGAGAAGAUUAGCAUGGCCUCCGUGCAAGGAUGACACGCAAAUUCGUGAAGCGUUCCAUAUUUUU